AGUGAACGCUGGCGGUAGGCCUAACACAUGCAAGUCGAACGGCAGCACAGUAAGAGCUUGCUCUUACGGGUGGCGAGUGGCGGACGGGUGAGGAAUACAUCGGAAUCUACUUUUUCGUGGGGGAUAACGUGGGGAAACUUACGCUAAUACCGCAUACGACCUACGGGUGAAAGCAGGGGAUCUUCGGACCUUGCGCGAUUGAAUGAGCCGAUGUCGGAUUAGCUAGGUGGCGGGGUAAAGGCCCACCAAGGCGACGAUCCGUAGCUGGUCUGAGAGGAUGAUCAGCCACACUGGAACUGAGACACGGUCCAGACUCCUACGGGAGGCAGCAGUGGGGAAUAUUGGACAAUGGGCGCAAGCCUGAUCCAGCCAUACCGCGUGGGUGAAGAAGGCCUUCGGGUUGUAAAGCCCUUUUGUUGGGAAAGAAAAGCAGCAGGUUAAUACCCCGCUGUUCUGACGGUACCCAAAGAAUAAGCACCGGCUAACUUCGUG
Molecule: ribosomal RNA, 492 nt
Filed under: uncultured bacterium
Lineage: Bacteria
Description: partial 16S ribosomal RNA
Rfam family: Bacterial small subunit ribosomal RNA
Source: RNAcentral